GGAAUAAAAACUACCUUCCUUCCUGUUUUAGUUAGGGUUUUCAAUGUUGAGAUCAAAAUUCUCAAAAAAGAACAACUUACAAGAGGAAAACUUGGGGGCUCAUGGUUUCAGAGGUUUCAAUCCACAGAUGGCCAACUCCAUUGCUCUGGGUCCAAGUGGCUUUGUAAUCAUCCAAGCUGGAAACAACCCAAAUGUCUUUCAACUGGCAUAUGAAUGAACUGUGAUGCAUUCAAACAAUGAAAUACUACUCAAUAACCUAAGAAAGAAUAAACAGGUGAUGCAUAGAACAACAUGGAUGAAUCUCAAAUAUACCAUUCUAAGUGAGAGAAGCCAGUUCCAGAAAAGCCCCUGGGGAUUUGUAUAAAUCUGAGUCCUGAUUAACAGAAAUCGACUCUAAUUUACAAGUUUCUUCCAUUGCUUCAUUUCAUUGCAUAUCUCAAUGACAGUGAUAUUUAGUAACAUCAUCAAUAAAUAUGGAAUUAUCGCUGUUAUAAAAUAUCUUUUCCUCCCUUUUACAACAAGUAAGGAGAAAAUAUAUAGCACAUUAAAAGCAAAAGUUGUCAUUGCACUUUGACUAAAAUGCAAAAAAAUCACACACACACACACACACCACCACCACCACCACCACCACCACCAAAUUUAGUAAUGCUGUCCGAAGCAAGUAUUAAAACUUGGGAAAUGUAGUGAAUAAAGCUAGAUGGAAAAUAAAGAGUCAUAUGUUUUUUAAAGUCUAUACAUAUGAUCUAACCUCUGACUGUCCUAUUCCCUUAAGCCACAUGCCUUGUAAUAUAUUUUUACAAUGUCAGAGUUUCAAUAUCAUGUGGAUUAUUAGAAUUUGUAUCUACAGCAACCCAAAUGUUUGAGACCAUACCCAAAGAAAUAAUAAGAAGAGAAUGAAGGGAGGUCAUAUUUAUAACCAGUCUGGUUUUUAGCUAUUCUAAGUUCCUUUGGUUGUAAAUUUUAACCCUGCUCUUGAGUUUUUAAUUCAUCUAUACAUUUAGAAUACAGUCCCACAAUAAACAAAUCCUGAGAUAUAUUAUAUGUGUAUAUGUCUUGCAUUUUUUCAAAUAAAUUACACAAAUGGAUUUCUAGAAAAACCUUGAAAGAUGCAUGAAUAUAUACAUAUACAUGAAUAUAAAUAGCACCGGCACACUGCUACAUUUGUGUUGAAUGUGUUUACAUCUAUUUUUUCCAUAAGCAUCUAUGGGAUUUCCAUGAUGAUGUUGUUUUAAGGAUAAUAGGAAGCAAACACUUUCUGGUGAUGCAAUUAAAUCACCAAGCAUAAAGAUAUCUAAACAUAUCAACUGACAACACAGCGCUGCUACGAGGUAACUGCUCCAACAUCUGCGACACUGAAGUUAAUCAUGACUCCAGCAAGAACAUCCUCCAUGUGCUGCAUAAGAGAGACACUAAUUAAUCAUUAAGUGGCCUUACAUCAUACAGGCCUGCUGCUUCUGUUUCAAAUCAACUGAAGUGGUGCAGAGCAGCAGUAGCAGGAGCAACAGCAGCAGCUCCAAAUAUUAAACAUGAAAGAGAAAGUGUGGAUUACUGAAACUCUGAGAGGAAGGUAGUUUGCAACUGAUACUUGAAUUGUUUAAUAAAUAAGCACCCAACCUCACUUUACUGAUUGAUGGACUGUACUGGCCACUUGCCAGAAGCAUUUUCUAAUUUACACUAAUGGGAGGUAAAUUUUCCCUGAUUGUGGAGGUGUGAGUUCUUGAGACUUCCCACCUUACAUCAUGAAGGAAUACAAUAUGAUAGAUGCGGUAUUUUCCAGCCUUUACAGUUGAGGGUAUAGUCCAUUAUUUGAGGGAUUCACACAUUCUCUACCCUCAGAAAUAUUUUAUUGGUUCUCAGAAAUAUUUAACUAGAUUAGUCAAACUCUCAGGAUGAUCUCAUUUUAUGUGCCCAUUGUGAGAGAUUUAGAAAAUGUAGAAGAGAUCACAGAUCAAAAUAAAAAUUUCUAAUAGCCACCAACCAAAGGAACCCAUUGUUAAAAUGUGUGUGUGUAUGUGUGUGUGUGUGUGUGUGUGUGUUCUUCCUGUCACAGGAAUAGCUAACCUUUACUGAGAGCUUACAGUGUGCCGGCCACUCUUCCAAGCACUUCAUACAUAUACUCAGUCCUCACAAUAAUCCAA
Marmota monax (woodchuck) is the source of this 2138-nucleotide long non-coding RNA. RefSeq lists it as uncharacterized. NCBI's taxonomy places the organism in Eukaryota, Metazoa, Chordata, Mammalia, Rodentia, Sciuridae. The transcript is spliced from 3 exons. The record is from RefSeq and is a predicted model, not a curated record.